Molecule: ribosomal RNA, 671 nt
Filed under: uncultured Acinetobacter sp.
Lineage: Bacteria; Pseudomonadati; Pseudomonadota; Gammaproteobacteria; Moraxellales; Moraxellaceae
Description: bacterial SSU rRNA
Rfam family: Bacterial small subunit ribosomal RNA
Source: RNAcentral
UGCAAGUCGAGCGGGGGAAGGUAGCUUGCUACUGGACCUAGCGGCGGACGGGUGAGUAAUACUUAGGAAUCUGCCUAUUAGUGGGGGACAACGUUCCGAAAGGAGCGCUAAUACCGCAUACGCCCUACGGGGGAAAGCAGGGGAUCUUCGGACCUUGCGCUAAUAGAUGAGCCUAAGUCGGAUUAGCUAGUUGGUGGGGUAAAGGCCUACCAAGGCGACGAUCUGUAGCGGGUUUGAGAGGAUGAUCCGCCACACUGGGACUGAGACACGGCCCAGACUCCUACGGGAGGCAGCAGUGGGGAAUAUUGGACAAUGGGCGCAAGCCUGAUCCAGCCAUGCCGCGUGUGUGAAGAAGGCCUUAUGGUUGUAAAGCACUUUAAGCGAGGAGGAGGCUUACCUAGUUAAUACCUAGGAUAAGUGGACGUUACUCGCAGAAUAAGCACCGGCUAACUCUGUGCCAGCAGCCGCGGUAAUACAGAGGGUGCAAGCGUUAAUCGGAAUUACUGGGCGUAAAGCGCGCGUAGGUGGCCAUUUAAGUCAAAUGUGAAAUCCCCGAGCUUAACUUGGGAAUUGCAUUCGAUACUGGAUGGCUAGAGUAUAGGAGAGGAAGGUAGAAUUCCAGGUGUAGCGGUGAAAUGCGUAGAGAUCUGGAGGAAUACCGAUGGCGAAGG